GGUGGAUUAAUUUCGAUGCAACGCGAAAAACCUUACCCUACCCUUGACAUGUCUGGAAUGCCGAAGAGAUUUGGCAGUGCUCGCAAGAGAACCGGAACACAGGUGCUGCAUGGCUGUCGUCAGCUCGUGUCGUGAGAUGUUGGGUUAAGUCCCGCAGCGAGCGCAACCCUUGUCAUUAGUUGCUACGAAAGGGCACUCUAUUGAGACUGCCGGUGACAAACCGGAGGAAGGUGGGGAUGACGUCAAGUCCUCAUGGCCCUUAUGGGUAGGGCUUCACACGUCAUACAAUGGUCGGGACAGAGGGUCGCGAAGCCGCGAGGUGGAGCCAAUCCCAGAAACCCGAUCGUAGUCCGGAUUGCAGUCUGCAACUCGACUGCAUGAAGUCGGAAUCGCUAGUAAUCGCGGAUCAGAAUGUCGCGGUGAAUACGUUCCCGGGUCUUGUACACACCGCCCGUCACACCAUGGGAGUGGGUUUUACCAGAAGUAGGUAGCCUAACCGUAAGGAGGGCGCUACCACGC
This 519-nucleotide ribosomal RNA is filed under the name uncultured Achromobacter sp. RNAcentral describes it as "bacterial SSU rRNA". It matches the Rfam family "Bacterial small subunit ribosomal RNA", at positions 940 to 1462 of the family's 1533-position model. The record is from RNAcentral. Lineage: Bacteria; Pseudomonadati; Pseudomonadota; Betaproteobacteria; Burkholderiales; Alcaligenaceae.